This 1844-nucleotide long non-coding RNA is filed under the name Nicotiana benthamiana. RNAcentral describes it as "long non-coding RNA (NBEN_LNC019981)". Lineage: Eukaryota; Viridiplantae; Streptophyta; Magnoliopsida; Solanales; Solanaceae. The record is from RNAcentral.
UUCUUCCUUAAUAAAUCCUAGCAUAGAAACAGUCCUAAAAGGAUCUUUGUAAAUCAUUCCAUCAACCAUCACCAAAGUAGUAUUUUCUGCCAUGAAAGCCAAGUGAAACUCCUUAAAAUCCAGUCCCGAAUAUGCCUCAAAACAAUUUGUUUCCACCAUUAUUUUAGCCAAGUUGGAGUUCAAAAUUGAGAGUUUUGUUCGAGUUGAGGGUGCUGAUCGAGUCGCUGGAUAAUUGGUUCUUUUUUUUCACUGUAAUCCCACAUUGGGAGAUUCUUUAUUAACUGAAAGUAAAUUUUCCUCAUUAAGGUCUGUUUUCUUAAUUUUCACUCUUCUUUCAUCUCUUUACAACUAGCUUAAUAAAUGCUCUUGUAUGACAUAUAUUUAUUUUGUGAUUAGUUUGAUUAUUUAUUCACCUUUCUUAAAGAACUUUGUCUCAUUCUUUAGUUUUGUGAUAAUAAAAUGAAUAAAUUAAUCAUCUUUUGGACUCCAAAUGGAAGUAGGCUUUGUCAUAGCCAGUUUAUCUUUUUUCCUACGUAAUUAUUGUUUGAUGAAGUGCUUCAUUAAUUAUUAUCGGUAUUUUGUUUUCUUAACUAAAUGGAAUAAAUAUUACUUAGAUUAGUUUUGUUAGUUUGUUUAUAUAUAGUUGAUUAGCAAAUAUCAAAGUUGAGAAAGUAUAUUCAAUAUUUAUUAAUAAGGAUAGGAACAUUAAUAAAGAUAUAUGCAUACUCUUGAGGCAUACCUUUGAAUAAGCCAGCUUUAAAUCUCACUAAUCUUCAAAUACUUAGUAUCAUGAAAACUAGAGUACAUCAUACCCUUUCUUCUAAACAAACUCCAUAACUCUUGGCGUCACAAUAAUCUCUAGCUUAGGAAAAUAAUAAUGAACACAAGUAGUAUAACUUUAGGCAUGCACUUUAUUAAUUAAAUCAUCGUAAUUGUGUACAUUUUUGCGUGACAUGAUUAUGACUCUCAAAAUAAAUUAAAGUAUGUGUUCGCGCAACUUCAACCAAACAUUUUUCUUAGAAAAUAAACAAAGCGUUAUUAAUUGUACACAUAUUUGCGUGGCAUGAUCUUUGACGUGCCAAAGGAAAAGAGUAUACGUACAUGUAAUUCAAUUGUUUAAUUAUGAACAAUCAAGUGAUUAAAAGCGGUUUAAAGGUAAAUACACAUAGGAUCUAAAGAUGAGUAGUUAAACAAUUUAAGCCAAGUAGUAAUUACUAAGCGACUGUGCUAGAACCACGGAACCCGGGAAUGACUAACACCUUCUUCCGGGUUAACAGAAUUCCUAUCUAGAAUUUCUGGUUCGCAGAUUUUAAAAAUAAAAUUUUCAUUGAUUUGAGAUUUUAAAAUAAACCGUCGACUUACCAAAUAAACUAUUCCAAGUGGCGGCUUUAAUAAAUAAAAUAAUUCCAUUUCGAAUAAUGUCACUUUAAUUGAAAAAACUCUCAUACCCCCUUGGGGCGAUAAAAAUGAGGUGUGACAGUUGAAGGAUUGCCUCAGCAAGUCGAAGCGUAUGAAUUUCUUUUAACACAAUCUGUUUUGCUUUUAGAUUCUACAGUUUGAUAAUGGUUGUUCUUUUUAUUUUUGCAGUGAUUGCGGUGUAUUUGCAUCAUUUAUCGUGUGAUGACCCAAAGGGGUCAUCAUCGUAAUUCUCGCUUCCACCCUGCUUUCGAGGCCAUGAAAACCUCUUAUUUGAUCGCCUCGAUUUGCAUGUUUCCGAGGCUUUUGUGCAUGUGGACACUAGUUUUACAGAAUCACACAAAGGGUUCAAGAUAUAACGGAUCCGUAAAUUCGGCAUGAUUAUGUAUUCUAUGCUCAAGUAUCUACAGAUUCCAAUCAUACCUUCA